AGUGAACGCUGUCGGUAGGCCUAACACAUGCAAGUCGAACGGCAGCACAGUAAGAGCUUGCUCUUACGGGUGGCGAGUGGCGGACGGGCGAGGAAUACAUCGGAAUCUACUUUUUCGUGGGGGAUAACGUAGGGAAACUUACGCUAAUACCGCAUACGACCUACGGGUGAAAGCAGGGGAUCUUCGGACCUUGCGCGAUUGAAUGAGCCGAUUUCGGAUUAGCUAGUUGGCGGGGUAAAGGCCCACCAAGGCGACGAUCCGUAGCUGGUCUGAGAGGAUGAUCGGCCACACUGGAACUGGGACACGGUCCAGACUCCUACGGGAGGCAGAAGUGGGGAAUAUUGGACAAUGGGCGCAAGCCUGAUCCAGCCAUACCGCGUGGGUGAAGAAGGCAUUCGGGUUGUAAAGCCCUUUUGUUGGGAAAGAAAAGCAGCAGGUUAAUACCCCGCUGUUCUGACGGUACCCAAAGAAUAAGCACCGGCUAACUUAGUG
This 492-nucleotide ribosomal RNA is filed under the name uncultured bacterium. RNAcentral describes it as "partial 16S ribosomal RNA". It matches the Rfam family "Bacterial small subunit ribosomal RNA", at positions 29 to 507 of the family's 1533-position model. The record is from RNAcentral.